This 219-nucleotide unclassified non-coding RNA is filed under the name Hevea brasiliensis (rubber tree). Lineage: Eukaryota; Viridiplantae; Streptophyta; Magnoliopsida; Malpighiales; Euphorbiaceae. The record is from RNAcentral.
GGACAGUGUCUAAUAAAAUUGUUCACUUGUAAAAAAAUGUAUUGCUUUUGCCUUACAUACAAACACUCCCAGAUUUUCAUUUUCAUUAGUCUCUGAGCACGCGCUAUGCGCGUGUACCCCACAUCUAUUAUACAGUCUGUUUAUUAUUUUAGGGCUUUAAACCUUAAUAUAAGAUCAACUUAGACAUUGUAAUUUCAAAUGACCAAUUGUGACAACUUA